GCCUGGGUGGCUCAGUCGGUUGAGCGUCCGACUUCGGCUCGGGUCAUGAUCUCACCCUCCGUGAGUUCGAGCCCCGCGUCGGGCU
Transfer RNA from Felis catus (domestic cat), 85 nucleotides. It matches the Rfam family "tRNA". From Rfam's summary of the family: Transfer RNA (tRNA) molecules are approximately 80 nucleotides in length. Their secondary structure includes four short double-helical elements and three loops (D, anti-codon, and T loops). The record is from Rfam. NCBI's taxonomy places the organism in Eukaryota, Metazoa, Chordata, Mammalia, Carnivora, Felidae.